This 460-nucleotide ribosomal RNA is filed under the name uncultured bacterium. RNAcentral describes it as "partial 16S ribosomal RNA". It matches the Rfam family "Bacterial small subunit ribosomal RNA", at positions 338 to 795 of the family's 1533-position model. The record is from RNAcentral.
CCUACGGGUGGCAGCAGUGAGGAAUAUUGGUCAAUGGACGAGAGUCUGAACCAGCCAAGUAGCGUGAAGGAUGACUGCCCUAUGGGUUGUAAACUUCUUUUAUAUGGGAAUAAAAUGUUCCACGUGUGGGAUUUUGUAUGUACCGUAUGCAUAAGGAUCGGCUAACUCCGUGCCAGCAGCCGCGGUAAUACGGAGGGUCCGAGCGUUAUCCGGAUUUAUUGGGUUUAAAGGGAGCGUAGGUGGAUUGUUAAGUAAGUUGUGAAAGUUUGCGGCUCAACCGUAAAAUUGCAGUUGAAACUGGCAGUCUUGAGUACAGUAGAGGUGGGCGGAAUUCGUGGUGUAGCGGUGAAAUGCUUAGAUAUCACGAAGAACUCCGAUUGCGAAGGCAGUUCACUGGACUGCAACUGACACUGAGGCUCGAAAGUGUGGGUAUCAAACAGGAUUAGAUACCCCUGUAGUC